RNAcentral lists this transfer RNA (90 nucleotides) under [Clostridium] ultunense Esp. It matches the Rfam family "tRNA". Rfam says of the family: Transfer RNA (tRNA) molecules are approximately 80 nucleotides in length. Their secondary structure includes four short double-helical elements and three loops (D, anti-codon, and T loops). The record is from Rfam by way of RNAcentral. Lineage: Bacteria; Bacillati; Bacillota; Tissierellia; Tissierellales; Tepidimicrobiaceae.
GGAGAGGUGGCUGAGUCUGGCCGAAGGCGCACGACUGGAAAUCGUGUAAACGUGAUGAGCGUUUCGAGGGUUCGAAUCCCUCUCUCUCCG